RNAcentral lists this ribosomal RNA (1312 nucleotides) under metagenome. Its description in RNAcentral is "bacterial SSU rRNA". It matches the Rfam family "Bacterial small subunit ribosomal RNA", at positions 196 to 1498 of the family's 1533-position model. The record is from RNAcentral.
GCAGGGGAUCGCAAGACCCUGCGCUGAUUGAGCGGCCGAUAUCAGAUUAGCUUGUUGGUGAGGUAAAAGCUCACCAAGGCGACGAUCUGUAGCGGGUCUGAGAGGAUGAUCCGCCACACUGGAACUGAGACACGGUCCAGACUCCUACGGGAGGCAGCAGUGGGGAAUUUUGGACAAUGGGGGCAACCCUGAUCCAGCCAUGCCGCGUGAGUGAAGAAGGCCUUCGGGUUGUAAAGCUCUUUCAGCCGGGAAGAAAACGUAUGGGUUAAUACCCUGUGCGGAUGACGGUACCGGAAUAAGAAGCACCGGCUAACUACGUGCCAGCAGCCGCGGUAAUACGUAGGGUGCGAGCGUUAAUCGGAAUUACUGGGCGUAAAGCCUGCGCAGGCGGUUUUGUAAGAUAGGCGUGAAAUCCCCGGGCUUAACCUGGGAACUGCGUUUAUGACUGCAAGGCUAGAGUACGGCAGAGGGGGGUGGAAUUCCACGUGUAGCAGUGAAAUGCGUAGAGAUGUGGAGGAACACCAAUGGCGAAGGCAGCCCCCUGGGUCGAUACUGACGCUCAUGCACGAAAGCGUGGGUAGCAAACAGGAUUAGAUACCCUGGUAGUCCACGCCCUAAACGAUGUCAACUAGGUGUUGGGAGGGUAAAACCUUUUAGUACCGGAGCUAACGCGUGAAGUUGACCGCCUGGGGAGUACGGCCGCAAGGUUAAAACUCAAAGGAAUUGACGGGGACCCGCACAAGCGGUGGAUGAUGUGGAUUAAUUCGAUGCAACGCGAAAAACCUUACCUACCCUUGACAUGCCAAGAACUUUCCAGAGAUGGAUUGGUGCCCGAAAGGGAGCUUGGACACAGGUGCUGCAUGGCUGUCGUCAGCUCGUGUCGUGAGAUGUUGGGUUAAGUCCCGCAACGAGCGCAACCCUUGUCGUUAAUUGCCAUCAUUCAGUUAGGCACUUUAGCGAGACUGCCGGUGACAAACCGGAGGAAGGUGGGGAUGACGUCAAGUCCUCAUGGCCCUUAUGGGUAGGGCUUCACACGUCAUACAAUGGUCGGUACAAAGGGUCGCCAAGCCGCGAGGUGGAGCCAAUCCCAGAAAGCCGAUCGUAGUCCGGAUUGCAGGCUGCAACUCGCCUGCAUGAAGUCGGAAUCGCUAGUAAUCGUGGAUCAGAAUGUCACGGUGAAUACGUUCCCGGGUCUUGUACACACCGCCCGUCACACCAUGGGAGCGGGUUCCGCCAGAAGUAGGUAGCCUAACCGCGAGGGGGGCGCUUACCACGGCGGGGUUCGUGACUGGGGUGAAGUCGUAACAAGGUA